AUUGAACGCUGGCGGAAUGCUUUACACAUGCAAGUCGAGCGGCAGCGCGGGGGCAACCCUGGCGGCGAGCGGCGAACGGGUGAGUAACGCAUCGGAACGUACCUUGUAGUGGGGGAUAACUAUCCGAAAGGAUAGCUAAUACCGCAUACGCCCUGAGGGGGAAAGGGGGGGAUCGCAAGACCUCCCGCUACAGGAGCGGCCGAUGUCCGAUUAGCUAGUUGGUGAGGUAAAGGCUCACCAAGGCGACGAUCGGUAGCUGGUCUGAGAGGAUGAUCAGCCACACUGGGACUGAGACACGGCCCAGACUCCUACGGGAGGCAGCAGUGGGGAAUUUUGGACAAUGGGGGCAACCCUGAUCCAGCCAUUCCGCGUGAGUGAAGAAGGCCUUC
RNAcentral lists this ribosomal RNA (389 nucleotides) under uncultured bacterium. RNAcentral's name for it is "bacterial SSU rRNA". It matches the Rfam family "Bacterial small subunit ribosomal RNA", at positions 29 to 419 of the family's 1533-position model. The record is from RNAcentral.